This 202-nucleotide unclassified non-coding RNA is filed under the name uncultured Agaricales. Its description in RNAcentral is "sequence contains ITS2". The record is from RNAcentral. Lineage: Eukaryota; Fungi; Basidiomycota; Agaricomycetes; Agaricales.
AAUUAUCAGAGUCCUAACUUGUGUUGGGAUUUUGGAUUUAUGGAGGAUUUGCUGCUGGAAAUCAGCUCCUCUGAAAUGUAUUAGCAGAAAGACCCUAUAACGCUAAGCAGUUUGGUGUGAUAAUACUUAUUUCUACACCAUUAUUGAGUACAUGGGUUUCAGCUUCUAAUUGUCCACUUUUCAUUGGGACAAACUCUUCAAU